Molecule: ribosomal RNA, 468 nt
Filed under: uncultured bacterium
Lineage: Bacteria
Description: partial 16S ribosomal RNA
Rfam family: Bacterial small subunit ribosomal RNA
Source: RNAcentral
GAUGAACGCUGGCGGCGUGCCUAACACAUGCAAGUCGAGCGAUCUUCUUCGGAAGAGAGCGGCGGACGGGUGAGUAACGCGUGGGUAACCUGCCCUGUACACACGGAUAACAUACCGAAAGGUAUGCUAAUACGGGAUAAUAUGCUUUUAUCGCAUGGUAGAAGUAUCAAAGCUCCGGCGGUACAGGAUGGACCCGCGUCUGAUUAGCUAGUUGGUAAGGUAACGGCUUACCAAGGCGACGAUCAGUAGCCGACCUGAGAGGGUGAUCGGCCACAUUGGAACUGAGACACGGUCCAAACUCCUACGGGAGGCAGCAGUGGGGAAUAUUGCACAAUGGGCGGAAGCCUGAUGCAGCAACGCCGCGUGAGCGAUGAAGGCCUUCGGGCCGUAAAGCUCUGUCAUCAAGGAAGAUAAUGACGGUACUUGAGGAGGAAGCCCCGGCUAACUACGUGCCAGCCGCCGCCGUAA